AACGAACGCUGGCGGCAUGCCUAACACAUGCAAGUCGAACGAGACCUUCGGGUCUAGUGUCGCACGGGUGCGUAACGCGUGGGAACCUGCCCUUAGGUUCGGAAUAACUCCCCGAAAGGGGUGCUAAUACCGGAUAAUGUCUUCGGACCAAAGAUUUAUCGCCUUUGGAUGGGCCCGCGUUGGAUUAUCUAGUUGGUAGGGUAAAAGCCUACCAAGGCGACGAUCCAUAGCUGGUCUGCGAGGAUGAUCAGCCACACUGGGACUGAGACACGGCCCAGACUCGUACGGGAAGAAGCAGUGGGGAAAAAUGGACAAUAGGCGAAAGACUGAACCAGCAAUGACGCGUGAAUGAUGAAGGCCUUAGGGUAGUAAAGCUGUUUUACCCGGGAUGAUAAUGACAAUACAGGGAGAAUAAGCGCGGGGUAACUCCGUG
RNAcentral lists this ribosomal RNA (433 nucleotides) under uncultured bacterium. Its description in RNAcentral is "partial 16S ribosomal RNA". It matches the Rfam family "Bacterial small subunit ribosomal RNA", at positions 29 to 507 of the family's 1533-position model. The record is from RNAcentral.